RNAcentral lists this ribosomal RNA (417 nucleotides) under Parapanteles paradoxus. RNAcentral describes it as "partial 16S large subunit ribosomal RNA". Lineage: Eukaryota; Metazoa; Arthropoda; Insecta; Hymenoptera; Braconidae. The record is from RNAcentral.
GUUUUAUUGAAAUUAAUAUUAAGUCAAAUCUGCUCAAUGAAAAUUAAAUAGCUGCAGUAUAAAUAACUGUACAAAGGUAGCAAAAUAAUUAGUUUUUUUAUUGGAAACUAGAAUGAAAGAUUUAAUGCAAUAUAAACUUUUUUAAAUUUAGCAAAUAAACUUUUUAAUUAAAUUAAAAAAUUUAAAUAAUUAUUAAAGACGAGAAGACCCUAUUGAACUUUAUUAAUUUUUUUUAUUAAAAUUUUAAUUUAAUAAUUUAAAUUAAUUUGAUUGGGGAAAUUUUAAAAUUUAAUUAAUUUUUAAUUAAUAAAAACAUUUAUUUUUGAAUAAAUUUAAUUUUUUAAAUUAAUAAAUUAAGUUACCUUAGGGAUAACAGCAUAAUUUUUUUUAAAAGUUCUAAUUUAAAAAAAAGUUUAU